RNAcentral lists this ribosomal RNA (301 nucleotides) under uncultured bacterium. RNAcentral's name for it is "partial 16S ribosomal RNA". It matches the Rfam family "Bacterial small subunit ribosomal RNA", at positions 509 to 807 of the family's 1533-position model. The record is from RNAcentral.
CAGUAGCCGCGGGAAUACGUAGGGUGCAAGCGUUAAUCGGAAUUACUGGGCGUAAAGCGUGCGCAGGCGGUUAUAUAAGACAGAUGUGAAAUCCCCGGGCUCAACCUGGGAACUGCAUUUGUGACUGUAUAGCUAGAGUACGGCAUAGGGGGAUGGAAUUCCGCGUGUAGCAGUGAAAUGCGUAGAUAUGCGGAGGAACACCGAUGGCGAAGGCAAUCCCCUGGGCCUGUACUGACGCUCAUGCACGAAAGCGUGGGGAGCAAACAGGAUUAGAGACCCCCGUAGUCCCUGUCUCUUAUAC